GGAACGAUAGCUUACGAGGUCUGAGCGGCGGUCUGAAAAACCGCAGGAUGAUGGAUCGUUACCAUCUCGUUCCA
RNAcentral lists this transfer RNA (74 nucleotides) under Siphoviridae sp. ctDhw1. Its description in RNAcentral is "tRNA-Phe". It matches the Rfam family "tRNA". Rfam says of the family: Transfer RNA (tRNA) molecules are approximately 80 nucleotides in length. Their secondary structure includes four short double-helical elements and three loops (D, anti-codon, and T loops). Further hydrogen bonds mediate the characteristic L-shaped molecular structure. tRNAs have two regions of fundamental functional importance: the anti-codon, which is responsible for specific mRNA codon recognition, and the 3' end, to which the tRNAs corresponding amino acid is attached (by aminoacyl-tRNA synthetases). tRNAs cope with the degeneracy of the genetic code in two manners: having more than one tRNA (with a specific anti-codon) for a particular amino acid; and 'wobble' base-pairing, i.e. permitting non-standard base-pairing at the 3rd anti-codon position. Lineage: Duplodnaviria; Heunggongvirae; Uroviricota; Caudoviricetes. The record is from RNAcentral.